Molecule: ribosomal RNA, 253 nt
Filed under: uncultured bacterium
Lineage: Bacteria
Description: partial 16S ribosomal RNA
Rfam family: Bacterial small subunit ribosomal RNA
Source: RNAcentral
UACGUAGGGUGCAAGCGUUGUCCGGAAUUAUUGGGCGUAAAGAGCUCGUAGGCGGUUCGUCGCGUCGGCUGUGAAAACCCGGAGCUCAACUCCGGGCCUGCAGUCGAUACGGGCGGACUUGAGUGUUGCAGGGGAGACUGGAAUUCCUGGUGUAGCGGUGAAAUGCGCAGAUAUCAAGAGGAACACCUGAGGUGAAGACGGGUUGCUGGGCUGACACUGACGCUGAGGCGCGAAAGCCAGGGGAGCAAACGGG